RNAcentral lists this long non-coding RNA (357 nucleotides) under Struthio camelus australis. Its description in RNAcentral is "lncRNA (ENSSCUG00000014878.1)". The record is from RNAcentral. Lineage: Eukaryota; Metazoa; Chordata; Aves; Struthioniformes; Struthionidae.
AUUUUUUACCUCAGAGGUGAACUGAAAUGAUAAGAAACAUUAAAGCUGCUAAUGUGCUUAGCUAUUUUCUUGCUGAACACCAUCAGGAAACGAAUAGUAAUAAAAUAAAACUAAAAAACCAUUCACACUGCCGGAAGUCCCUCACCUACUUUGUUCCGGAAAAUACAAAAUGAUACUGUGCAACGCUUUCCAUUCUGCUUUAUGUCUGUGUUGACAAGGUUUUAUCCUCUGCCCUUCUUCCUAAAGUACCACCCAUCCAGCCUUCUGACAACUUCAUCUGUGAGUGUAGCCGGUACAAAAGAGAGAAACAUGGAAACAACAUCUCUACAAGUAUGGAGACAACACCGAAGCAACUGA